GGCUGGUUCAUAAAUAAAUAAUAACUCCACAGUGUGGAUGAAUGUCUGCAUAUGUGUGGGUGUGUUUCUGUCCGUCAGCUCAUCAUGAAGAGUAGCUGCUGUAACAAAUAGUCCAAAAGCCCCAGUAUGUAAUAACAAAGCUAGGCAAUGGAGAGUUCUGCUCUAUCCCCAGAGAGGCGGAUGGAGGAUGGGGGCGCACACAUUGAAGAGCUGGAGAUGACGCAGAGGGGAGGGGGGGGUGGAUGGAUGGAUGGAGCAGAAUCCUGAAUGAGGAGAGGAUGAAGAAAAAGAGGAGGUGGAUGAGGAGGUGGAGAGAUGGAGCGUGGGCAGACUGCGUGGGAAGGAGAUGCUGCAUAAUCAGCUUUCCAGGGUUUUCUCCUUCUCCAUUUUACUCUUCACUUUUUUUCCACUCUCUAAAAACUGUGAGUGUGUCUGCAAUGUCUGCAUGCACAUCAGCUUCCACCUGACAGUUUUCCCCUUGUUUGUGUUUCACAUCAUAUUCUUGAAUAUUAAUAAAAAAAUAUAUAUAAUGCAUUAUUCUACGUGACUCCACAAAAACAAAAAAACAGUGUGGUAGUAAAAGCCAUUCUAGCUAAAGGCUGCAUUCACACACUUAAGGUCUGCUCCAACAACAUUUCUUCACACUCAUCAGCUUUUGGCAUCACAUUUGUUUAGCCUGGUGGAAGAAGUGUGAAACGGAGAAACCACCCUAAUCGUGAGCGGAGAAGUACCCGAUGAGUCAUCAGCAUCCUUGCGCGUUCAAAACGCCGCCUGGAGCUGCUCUGUUGAAAGGAAAACCUGGUCAGGGAGGGGUGAAUGCGUGGGUGGAAGAGGAACAGAGGAGCAGGUGAUAGCAGUGGGGGUGGUGGUGGUGGUGGUGGUGAGGGGAGUGGUGUGAAGGGAGGGAAGGAGGGAGGGGGGUUUUCCCUUUCAGAGACAUCCUUGAAUACGUCUGAUGUCGAAUGCAGAGCAGGAGGGGAGGUGGAGGGGAUUGCAGAGGCAAAUACGUGUUCAUUCAUAUGUAGAAGUUCGCUUGCAGUGAGUGGGUGGGUGUGUGAAGCACGAACAGAACACUGUCGCCAUCCACAUUCGUGGUUCGAGACAGAACAACAGUUGUGAAUGGAGCAGUCUGAGUAAGUUUCUAUGUUUACUUAUUGGAGUGAUGUAACAGCCGAACUAUCUAGUGACACCUGAACCAAUAUUAUUCUGUUUUUUCUCAUUUUCUCGUCCGUCUGUCCGCAGAUCCAAUCUCUCCAAAAUGAAAAUCCAACUUUGCAGACAGAAAACAGUGGAAAAGAAUAAGAAGUCAAUGAAAAGGGUAUUUUCAAAGAGGCUAUACUCUGAACACCAGGUCACGACAUCAAUCCCACUGCAGCCAUUCUCGCUCUCAGGAGGAAUAGAGAGAGCUUUAGUCGUGACUUUGAAUCUACGCCUUCAAGCCUGCUUCUUUACCUCAUUGCAACCUCCUAUUUAGCAUUCACCUCCAGUGUGAAAUAUUUCCACAGGUAUACGCAACAAUAACGUGGGAUGAAUAGGCACAGAGUGGAAUGGAUCUGCCAGCUCUGCAACAUACCUAAUGAGAGUAAAAAGACUGACUUUACGCAACUUCUGGCCAACAUACAAAAAAAAAGGCAAAAAAAUGAAGUUAAUGGGAACCUUUAGCCUCCCUUCAAAAUCCUAUUUAGUCAAGUCAGUUACACUCUUUAUUCUGGCAAAUCAUGUUAAACUCAUAUGUCUUGAAAAUUUGACUUCAAGCAAAAAAAAAGUGUGUACAAACAGUAAAAUGAAUGAAAUCCUGAAGGGGGGAGGUUUGGGAAGAAAAAUUUAAGUUUUGUCUCAAGAAACUUCAGUGACUUCAUAUGAAAAUCCUGGUAAUCAAGUUGUCAACUCUAUCACAUCUAGGACCUGAUUUUCAUCAGUUAAUUUAGCCAUGCUGUGAGCUCCUCAUCAUACUUCUAUACCCACGGCCACUUUAGGACUCACUGUAGAGGGACCGUCAACAAGGGACAAUGCAGCUCCCCUAAUGUGAAGAGCCAUAAAGACAAACUUAUACCAGUUGAUGAGAUAUGGACCCUGGAAAGCCAUUUCCAAUUUAAUCAAAGUCAAUUUAAAACUCUUUCCAAGUGUAUCGAGGUCAGUUAUGGGUGGGCUAUGAUACAAUUACAAUCUUCCCUCUGCUCCAAACGUUCUUUUCGAACAUUUAUCGAAGCUGUACUCAUUUGCAUUCUCUGAUUAAACAGCUUAAUAGCCUCGAUCAACACAGUUAUUUUUUUCCCUUUUAACCAGGUGGUACACAAGUUUAUUUCUGCUAUAAAAUUACAACACAGAGUAGCAUGAAUACAGUUUGAAAUUGGAUGUCCCUUGAAUCUCAGGUGCUAAAAGAAACUAAGCUGUGGCAGGUACUAUAGUUUUCACAUGGUUGUUACCCGUGUGUUAGCUUUAUUAUAUUCCCUAGUGAGCAAAAAUAUCAUAGCGUUUGCUCCUCUGUGUCUUGCUGUUGUUAGAGACAUGUCUGGACUUGUCUGCUUUGACAAGCUGUGAUAUAUAUUGCUGAGAGUAACAUGAGCCAGUGGUUAGACAGACCCAAGACCUGUUUUAAGACAACUGUUCAUGUGUUGCCAUAAAUUCAGGAAGCACCCCUAAUUUGUACCUUGCUCUGUUCAAGAGAAGCACAUGGAAGAAAUGGUUGGUAUUAUUUUACUUUGAAAAAACAAAACUUUUUCAAGUGAAUUUUUUUGCUGGUCAGCUAUGAGGAAUAUAAUUUCCAAGCAAAAUAUAUAUGGGUCAAAAAUCUCUGGCCUGUUGGGGAACAUAAGCUAAAAGUAGAUCACAAUCCAUUGUCCCCUUACUCAUGAGGGUCGAGCGGUCCAGUGCUUAUAAAAAAUAAUGUUCUUUCAAAGCAACUAACCAUGAAAAAAAUAUUCUUGCUUCUAUACAUGGACUUAACAACAUUAUGAAAUCAGAAUUAAAAAGUAGCUGACAAUUUGAGUGCCUGUAUAGCUAUUAUUCACCCCUAUAAUUGUAUUCUGACAACUGUGGUUAGCGAUGUGAAACACCUCAAAGGAGGUUUCUCUGGAUUUCCCACUGUGUGUGAAUGAUGACGCAACGUCACACAGUGAAAGAACCCCCGCUUUAAACUCCAGACUGGCUGACUGCCGAGAUGUCGGGCUCAGGGAUUGGUUUAUAAACAACAAAGAGUGGUGGAGGUGUGGCACGGAUGAUGCAAAAGAGUGAAAGAAACCCAGAGGACUGGCAGUCUGAAUCAGUAGCCGUCCCUUCCUUUCAGAAAUGGUCAUUGUUUCAUUUCCUUCUUUCAUUCACUCUUCAUCCUUCCCUAACUGAAUGAAAGUAAGUUAUUUAGUCUGCCCUGCUCAGUCUGCAGUUUGUUGGUGUGUAAAACAAAAAUUAUUGAACAGAUUUAUUAAAAAUUAUUGAAAAUUAAAUAGCACAUUAUAAGGGGGGAACCAAACUGCUGAUUGGAUUUGUUUAUUAAUGUAGAUUUUUAGGUUUAAUCAAAGAUCAUUCAUUAACUUUACUAAAAGCACUAUUUAAAUUAUGACUAAUUAAAUUCAUUAACAAUGGUUAACUUCCAAAAUGGGAUGUAAUGGUCUGUCCUGUUAUCACUUUAUGACCAUCCGUCUUGACUGCAACUGUGAGAAGCAGUCUGAGCUCUCCACCCUCCUCCAUCUACCUCUGCAGUUUGCUGCAUCUUUGGUUUGAUAUAUUGGUUUGUGAACCAGAUCUGGGAUAGCACAUAUUUUAGCAUAUAAUUCUUUGAGCACUUAGACUUUGUUUCAUUUAAAACAUGUGUCCAUCAUCUGGGCUGUCAUCAACUCUUCUAUUUGUCAAUAGUACAUUUGGCCGGGAGCGACACGGUGGUGUAGUAGUUAGCACUGUUGCCUCAGAGCAAGAAGGUCCUGGGUUCAAAUCUGGGUCAGGGCAUUUCUGUGUGUUUGCAUGUCCUCCCUGUGUCUGUGUGGGUUUACUCCAGGUACUCUGGUUUCCUCCCACAUCCCAAAAACAUGCAGAAGUGGGGUAAGGUUAAUUGGCCACUUUCAAAUUGCCCAUAGCUGUGAACAUGAGAGUGGCGACCCCUUGGCGACCCUGAAUGGGAAUAAGCGGUAGAAAAUGGAUUGAUGGAUGGACCUUCGGCCGAGUUUAUACUUAUGAAGCACGAUGGAGCGGCAAUGUCUGUUGGUUUGUUUAUCUGGCUAAAAAUGUCAGCUAAAAGUAUUUCCAACAAUGUUGUAAAGAUACUGAUAUUCUCCACGGUAAGUUUGACCAAAUAUUUAUAGUAUUGGACUGAUUGAAAAAAAUAAUAUACAACCCCAAUUCCAUUGAAGUUGAGAGAAUGUGUCAAACUUGAAUAAAAAUAGAAAACAAUGAUUUACAAACCUUUUUCAACCUAUAGUCAAUUAAAUACACUACAAAGACAAGAUAUUUGGAGGUCCAACUCAUAAAUUUGAUUGUUUUUUGCAAAUAUUCAUUUUGUUUCAAUUUAAUUCCUGCAACAUGUUCCAAAAAAGUUGGGACAGGUUUAAUGUGAUGUCAUGAAAGGAGCAUCCCUGAAAGGCUCAGUUGUGCACAAGCAAAGAGGCGAGGUUCACCACUUUGUGAACAACUGCAUGAGAAACUAGUCCAACAGUUUAAGAAUGUUUUUCAACAACCAAUUGCAUGAAUUUAGUGAUUUCAUCAUUUACAGUCCGUAAUAUCAUCAUAAGAUUCAGAGAGACCACAGAAAUCUCUGCUAAAAACUAACACUGAGUGCCCGUGACCUUCAACCCUUCAGGCGACACUGUAUUAAAAAUGGACAUCGUUCUGUGAAGAAUUUUACCACGUAGGCUCAGAAACACUUUAGAAAACUAUCGUCAGUUAACACAGUUCAUCUUUACAGCUAUUAGUGCAAGUCCAAACUCUAAACAUGCAAAGCCAAAACCAGAUAUCAACAACUCUCUGAAACGCUGCCAGCUUCUGUG
Non-coding RNA from Xyrichtys novacula (pearly razorfish), 4976 nucleotides. The record is from the annotation of a GenBank genome assembly. NCBI's taxonomy places the organism in Eukaryota, Metazoa, Chordata, Actinopteri, Labriformes, Labridae.